GGCCGAGUAGCAAAGUGGUAAUGCCGCGGACUGCAAAUCCGCUAUGCACUGGUUCGAUUCCGGUCUCGGCCUCCA
RNAcentral lists this transfer RNA (75 nucleotides) under Rickettsiales endosymbiont of Peranema trichophorum. Its description in RNAcentral is "tRNA-Cys". It matches the Rfam family "tRNA". From Rfam's summary of the family: Transfer RNA (tRNA) molecules are approximately 80 nucleotides in length. Their secondary structure includes four short double-helical elements and three loops (D, anti-codon, and T loops). Lineage: Bacteria; Pseudomonadati; Pseudomonadota; Alphaproteobacteria; Rickettsiales. The record is from RNAcentral.